Molecule: ribosomal RNA, 682 nt
Filed under: uncultured bacterium
Lineage: Bacteria
Description: bacterial SSU rRNA
Rfam family: Bacterial small subunit ribosomal RNA
Source: RNAcentral
ACCUAGAGUAUGGGAGGGGGAGAUUGGAAUUAGUGGUGUAGGGGUAAAAUCCGUAGAUAUCACUAGGAAUACCGAAAGCGAAGGCGAUCUCCUGGAACAAUACUGACGCUAAGGCGUGAAAGCGUGGGGAGCAAACGGGAUUAGAUACCCCGGUAGUCCACGCCCUAAACGAUGUUCACUAGUCGUCGGAAUGCUAGUCAUUUCGGUGAUGCACUUAACAGAUUAAGUGAACCGCCUGGGGAGUACGGUCGCAAGAUUAAAACUCAAAGGAAUAGACGGGGACCCGCACAAGUGGUGGAGCAUGUGGUUUAAUUCGAAGAUACGCGAAGAACCUUACCUAGCCUUGACAUUGAUUGAAUACUUUAGAGAUAGAGUAGUGCCCUUCGGGGAACAUGAAAACAGGUGCUGCACGGCUGUCGUCAGCUCGUGUCGUGAGAUGUUGGGUUAAGUCCCGCAACGAGCGCAACCCUCGUCCUUAGUUGCCAGCAGGUUAAGCUGGGCACUUUAAGGAGACUGCCUUCGCAAGGAGGAGGAAGGUGAGGACGACGUCAAGUCAUCAUGGCCCUUAUGGCUAGGGCUACACACGUGCUACAAUGGGGCGUACAGAGAGUUGCGAUACCGCGAGGUGGAGCCAAUCUCAUAAAGCGUCUCUCAGUUCGGAUUGAAGUCUGCAACUCGACUU